UGGGGAAUAUUGGACAAUGGGCGCAAGCCUGAUCCAGCCAUGCCGCGUGAGUGACGAAGGCCUUAGGGUUGUAAAGCUCUUUUGGCGGGGAAGAUAAUGACGGUACCCGCAGAAUAAGCUCCGGCUAACUUCGUGCCAGCAGCCGCGGUAAUACGAAGGGAGCUAGCGUUGUUCGGAAUCACUGGGCGUAAAGCGCACGUAGGUGGGCAGUUAAGUCAGGGGUGAAAGCCCGAGGCUCAACCUCGGAAUUGCCUCUGAUACUGGCUGUCUAGAGUUCGAGAGAGGUGAGUGGAAUUCCUAGUGUAGAGGUGAAAUUCGUAGAUAUUAGGAAGAACACCGGUGGCGAAGGCGGCUCACUGGCUCAAUACUGACACUGAGGUGCGAAAGCGUGGGUAGCAAACAGGAUUAGAUACCCCCGUAGUCCCUGAGCGGGCUGGCAAGGCGCAU
This 447-nucleotide ribosomal RNA is filed under the name uncultured bacterium. Its description in RNAcentral is "bacterial SSU rRNA". It matches the Rfam family "Bacterial small subunit ribosomal RNA", at positions 355 to 825 of the family's 1533-position model. The record is from RNAcentral.